Long non-coding RNA from Ostrea edulis (European flat oyster), 344 nucleotides. RefSeq lists it as uncharacterized. The record is from RefSeq and is a predicted model, not a curated record. The transcript is spliced from 3 exons. Lineage: Eukaryota; Metazoa; Mollusca; Bivalvia; Ostreida; Ostreidae.
GCAGCAUUAGUGUUUGUGAGUGUGAUCAUUACUACAUACAGCAUUAGUGUUUGUGAGUGUAAACUAACAUUACUAAGUAACACCAUGUUUUGCCACGAAUGAUUUUGCUGCUAUCAGAUAUCUUUUUAUGAUACCAAAUACCCAUACAAACAUGAAUAUGAUCUGGAGAAGGAGAAGAAUAACCCAUGACAGGUAAAACAUACAUACAAACAUACAUACAAACAUACAUAAAUACCCAGAAUAACCCAUGACAGCUCGAAAGCUUAUUUCCAAUGGGGUCCUUUGAUGCACGGUUGUUUGUGCUAGGGGGUCAUUUAUGUGGGAGGAAACCGGAGUACCCGUAG